AUGAACAAGGAAGCAGGCUCUCAGCAGACGCUGAGUCUUCCAGUGCCUUGAUUUUAGAAUUCUUUGACUCCAGAACUGUGAGAUAUUAAUGUAAAGCAAAUGUCUGCAGAAGAGUAUUUGGGAAUCAGUAAAGCAACUAUGAUUUCCUGAGAGACAGAUCCCAGAAAGAAACAGCUCCAGGAAACCAGGAAUCCAUAAUUGAUUUUCAGCCUCAAGUCCAGGGACUGACCUACACUGAAGGUUCAGCAGGCUGGAUGGAGGACUGCCCUGAGGU
Long non-coding RNA from Panthera uncia (snow leopard), 274 nucleotides. RefSeq lists it as uncharacterized. The transcript has 3 exons. Lineage: Eukaryota; Metazoa; Chordata; Mammalia; Carnivora; Felidae. The record is from RefSeq and is a predicted model, not a curated record.